This 2080-nucleotide long non-coding RNA is filed under the name Bemisia tabaci. RNAcentral describes it as "lncRNA ENSSSA1UGG010228". Lineage: Eukaryota; Metazoa; Arthropoda; Insecta; Hemiptera; Aleyrodidae. The record is from RNAcentral.
GUUACUUGCAAUUGCAGUGUCCGUGGCAAAUACGAUUAUUCAUCAACGUUCAUACUAAUCAAGCUGUGGACUUUCAUAAGUGGAUCAGUCAAAGACACUGUCAUAGCUUUUGUGGAAUGCGUUAUGAAUAAUUUAAAGCUGAAGAGGUUAGCGGCUAGCCAAUGGAUACGAAAAUCUUCACUCACUCAAUUUCAUCCCAAGGCUGUGUGUGAUGGUUGACGCGACCCAGCGGUUAGCCCGAGGUCUCGCCUUUGCCGUCGGUCUCCUCGUGGGUCUGAGUCUGGUCCUCAUGCUCGGCUCCGAUUGCGAGCCCUCCGUCUCGGCCCCGAACCCGGAGCUCGGCGCCGACCCCCGACUCCACACCUGGGGCCACGCCAAGGCCCAAAAGAGCACCAGCCGCCCCGUCGACCGCGACGCCGUCCGCGCAUCGCGAAGGUACAAGGUGGCGGUGCGUCCGGUGGGCUUCGGGGUCUGGCGCGACUCCUUCGUCUACGAGUCGAUCCCGCGCAACGGGAACGGGCGGAUGUACGACCCGGCGAACCCGCGGCGGGAGUUCGAGAUCUCCUCCGGCGACGGCGUCACCCUGGAGCCGGGCGCCGACGUCAACAUGGCCUGGUCCCAGUUCCAGUACGCCACCGACGUGGAGGUCCGCAUCCGCUCCGCCGACGCCGCCCCCCUCGGGCCCCCCGCCAACGUCGUCAUCCGCCCCUCCCGCAUCCCCUACCGCAUCUACUCCCCGCGCCCGGACACCAUCCUCGUCUGCCUCCCCUUCGACCCCGCCGGGAGGCGCUUCUCCGUGGAGUUCCAGAACGACCUCCUCAGCUACCGGACUGACGGUGUCGGCUACGUCGAGGAAGGCGGGGUCGUCGUCAGCGAGGAGCCCAGGAACGCCCUCCUCAUCUUCGCCAGCCCCUUCAUCCCGCCCCAACUCGUCCCCGCCAAGAUGGCCCCCGACGUGCAAGUCCUCAAACCCGGCAAGAUCGUCGACGGCACGAUCGGAACCAGGUCCACACUGUAUUUCGAAGCCGGAGUGUACUGGGUGGAGGAUAGCAACGGUGUCCUCGGGAAGAGUCACAUCAAACUUCACCCGAACACCAACUUCGUCUACUUCGAGCCGGGGACCUACAUCAAGGGGGCGCUCGAGUACACGACCGCCAAAGACUUCUUCACCGUCGGCCACGGCGUUCUCUCCGGCGAGAACUACGCCUACCAAGCCAACACGCUCCAGGGCUACGUUUCCAGCAAGGAUGACAAGUCCAGUCUCAGACUUAUCUCGCACCAGGCGGUGAGCGACAACCAGACGUGGACGUGCGUGGGCGUGACGCUCAACGCUCCGCCGUUCAACUCGGUGGACCUCUUCCCGAGAGAGGCGACCAAUCACGAGGAGGACAACAGGGUGAGGAUCCGGGUCGAGGACUACAAGCAGGUCGGGGCUUUCUACUUCCAGACGGAUGGCUUGCCCGCCUACGGAGGCUCCAUCACCUCCGUCUUCCUCCACGCCAACGACGACGCCCUCAAGCUCUACUACUCCGACGCCCACGUCACCGACGUCGUCGUCUGGAAGGUGCACAACGACCCGGUGAUCCAGCUGGGUUGGAAGCCGCGGAACAUCUCGAACGUGGUGGUGGAGACGGUGGACGUGAUCCACAGCCGGUGGGCGUUCUCGCAGACGGCGGUGCCUUCGGCGAUCAUCGGGGCCUCGCCGUACUACAUGGACCCGAAGCUCGUGGACGCCGGGCGGACCGUCUCGGCGGUGGUGCGGAACCUCCGCUGCGAGGGGAAGUGCGCCGCCCUCCUCCGCAUCGCCCCGAUGAACAACUACGACCUCCGCAUCGAGACGGUGCGCUUCGACGAGCUCCUCGCCGACGACCGCGCCCGGCUCGGCAUGAGCCUCGUCGGCACCAAGAUCAGCGACCACGAGGAUGCCUACGUCCAGGGACAGGAGGUCCUCCGGAUGGGCAUCCACGUCCGGGAUUGGCUCAUCGGCGGCCGGAGGGUCUGCGCCGACAACUGGCGCUCCGAGGAGCUCGGACAGCUCAACUUCAACGUCGGCUUUUGGGGACAGUGGAGCAUCGAUUGA